UCGGGGCUAGUAUGAAUGAAUACUCCUAAAACCUACUUUAUUUUCUCAUGAAAUAAAAACUUACUUUUAGGUGAAGAGGCCUAAAUUUUAUUAAAAGACAAGAAGACCCUAUCAAGCUUUAGUAAAAUAAUAUUAUAUAAUAUUAAUUCCUUUGGUUGGGGCGACAAGAAAUAUAAUUUAUCAUUUCUAAACCCUAAGAUAAAUAAAUCAUAAUAAAUAACUUAACUAUAAACAUAAGAAAGCUACUGUAGGGAUAACAGGCUAAUACUUUUUAAGAGCCCUCAUCAACAAAAGUGAUUGGCACC
RNAcentral lists this ribosomal RNA (305 nucleotides) under Eusyllis kupfferi. RNAcentral describes it as "partial large subunit ribosomal RNA". The stretch from base 66 to 305 matches the Rfam family "Bacterial large subunit ribosomal RNA", at positions 2048 to 2525 of the family's 2925-position model. The record is from RNAcentral. Lineage: Eukaryota; Metazoa; Annelida; Polychaeta; Phyllodocida; Syllidae.